GGAUAUACUAUCUGUGCCAUAUCAUGGGGCUGAAAGAAUCAUUUUUCUUCUUCCUCUGAUUGAUUUCAUCGUCAUCGUCAACUACAUAUACAAUGUGACCGGAAGGAACAAACCUCUUCUUCUCACGCUCAAUGUAUGGGGCGGGCGGGCAUAUGUAUAUGCGUGCGCGAGAGGAAGAGGUUGGAAACAUAAACCAGAAAAGAAAGAAGAAAGAAGAAAGAAACCUGUUUAUCCUGUAACUGCAGCUAAUCCUAAAACCACACCAACUGACUUCCUGAAUCAUCAUCAUCAUCGUCGUCGUCCUCCUUUUUUCAUCGGUUAUUGACAUCAUCGUCGUCGUCCUUCUUUUUUCAUCGGUUAUUGACAUCAUCACGUCGGUUUGCUCAUACCCCGUUUCCUUCCUCGAAGGUGACCCGGAGCUGCACGGGCCACGGCCGCUGCUGCGACGGCGCGCUCGCGAGCCCCUGCAGCAUCUUGAUCACGUCCACCGUGUCGUCCAGGUAGUACUUGGCCAUGCUCGGCUUCUUCCCCACGGUGCACGCAAACACCUCGCUCGUCGCCGGGAGCUUCACGCUGCCGUUGGCCGGGCACACGAUGCUCUCGAACAUGUCCUCGUCGGACCGGUCGUCCCCGAUGCAGAGCACGAAGUCAGGCGCCUUGCCGCCGCGCACCAUGGACGACAGGAGGCUCUCCACCACCACGCCCUUGCUGAUGCCCUGCACGACCACCACAGAGAGAGGAGAUAUUUCAUUCAUGUCAAACCAAGA
This 767-nucleotide long non-coding RNA is filed under the name Triticum aestivum (bread wheat). RNAcentral's name for it is "long non-coding RNA (TAES_LNC013704)". Lineage: Eukaryota; Viridiplantae; Streptophyta; Magnoliopsida; Poales; Poaceae. The record is from RNAcentral.